Molecule: ribosomal RNA, 1415 nt
Filed under: Lactiplantibacillus pentosus
Lineage: Bacteria; Bacillati; Bacillota; Bacilli; Lactobacillales; Lactobacillaceae
Description: bacterial SSU rRNA
Rfam family: Bacterial small subunit ribosomal RNA
Source: RNAcentral
GUCGAACGAACUCUGGUAUUGAUUGGUGCUUGCAUCAUGAUUUACAUUUGAGUGAGUGGCGAACUGGUGAGUAACACGUGGGAAACCUGCCCAGAAGCGGGGGAUAACACCUGGAAACAGAUGCUAAUACCGCAUAACAACUUGGACCGCAUGGUCCGAGUUUGAAAGAUGGCUUCGGCUAUCACUUUUGGAUGGUCCCGCGGCGUAUUAGCUAGAUGGUGGGGUAACGGCUCACCAUGGCAAUGAUACGUAGCCGACCUGAGAGGGUAAUCGGCCACAUUGGGACUGAGACACGGCCCAAACUCCUACGGGAGGCAGCAGUAGGGAAUCUUCCACAAUGGACGAAAGUCUGAUGGAGCAACGCCGCGUGAGUGAAGAAGGGUUUCGGCUCGUAAAACUCUGUUGUUAAAGAAGAACAUAUCUGAGAGUAACUGUUCAGGUAUUGACGGUAUUUAACCAGAAAGCCACGGCUAACUACGUGCCAGCAGCCGCGGUAAUACGUAGGUGGCAAGCGUUGUCCGGAUUUAUUGGGCGUAAAGCGAGCGCAGGCGGUUUUUUAAGUCUGAUGUGAAAGCCUUCGGCUCAACCGAAGAAGUGCAUCGGAAACUGGGAAACUUGAGUGCAGAAGAGGACAGUGGAACUCCAUGUGUAGCGGUGAAAUGCGUAGAUAUAUGGAAGAACACCAGUGGCGAAGGCGGCUGUCUGGUCUGUAACUGACGCUGAGGCUCGAAAGUAUGGGUAGCAAACAGGAUUAGAUACCCUGGUAGUCCAUACCGUAAACGAUGAAUGCUAAGUGUUGGAGGGUUUCCGCCCUUCAGUGCUGCAGCUAACGCAUUAAGCAUUCCGCCUGGGGAGUACGGCCGCAAGGCUGAAACUCAAAGGAAUUGACGGGGGCCCGCACAAGCGGUGGAGCAUGUGGUUUAAUUCGAAGCUACGCGAAGAACCUUACCAGGUCUUGACAUACUAUGCAAAUCUAAGAGAUUAGACGUUCCCUUCGGGGACAUGGAUACAGGUGGUGCAUGGUUGUCGUCAGCUCGUGUCGUGAGAUGUUGGGUUAAGUCCCGCAACGAGCGCAACCCUUAUUAUCAGUUGCCAGCAUUAAGUUGGGCACUCUGGUGAGACUGCCGGUGACAAACCGGAGGAAGGUGGGGAUGACGUCAAAUCAUCAUGCCCCUUAUGACCUGGGCUACACACGUGCUACAAUGGAUGGUACAACGAGUUGCGAACUCGCGAGAGUAAGCUAAUCUCUUAAAGCCAUUCUCAGUUCGGAUUGUAGGCUGCAACUCGCCUACAUGAAGUCGGAAUCGCUAGUAAUCGCGGAUCAGCAUGCCGCGGUGAAUACGUUCCCGGGCCUUGUACACACCGCCCGUCACACCAUGAGAGUUUGUAACACCCAAAGUCGGUGGGGUAACCUU